Molecule: long non-coding RNA, 855 nt
Organism: Zea mays
Lineage: Eukaryota; Viridiplantae; Streptophyta; Magnoliopsida; Poales; Poaceae
Exons: 2
Source: RefSeq, a predicted model, not a curated record
AUAUAGCGUCAUCAUUUGUAGUCACCAAUCAUCCAACGCUGAUCCCCUCGAUUCGCGGCGCCCUCGCCUCCACCACUCCCCAACCACCCGACGCCGACCCCCCUCAAUUCACGCCCCCACCCGCUGCAUCGGCUCCCUCCGGCGCCCCGCCUCCUGGCCCAGAUCCGUGCACCCCUCGCCCUCUCUAGACUCGAUGAUUCACAGAUCCGCCCAGCUGCCCAGGCACCGACUACCGGCGUCCGGAUCUCCUGCUCCACUGCUCGCUGCCUCGGGGCUCUCUGGCGUUGGCUCAGCGCGGUGGGCCCCCCAAUAGCCUAGUUCCGGAUCCCCCCACCACCCACGCCCCACAGGUCAAGCACCGGCCACCGAUGUCUGACGAACGAGCGAACUCCCCGCGGAUGCAGGAGGAGGAGGUGUAGGAGCGACCACCGACCAUCCGCGUUUCACCAUCCCCUUCUCCGAUCUCAAGGGUUUGUCCGCUGGUUUGCUAAGGCAAGCAACGUACAUAGACUGCUCGUCUUGGAUCCUUCAGGUUUGUAUAGUGUGUUGCUUUAUGAUCAAUUGACCAUUCAUUACCUCCGCCUGAUGGCCCUUAUUAACAACAGUAAGAACUAACUAAGAAUGUGCGCUAAGAUUUUGCUAUCUGAAGUGGUAAAUUUGUUAAUCCUAAUUUUUUGUUGAAUGGGUAUGGGGUUUUGUGGGUGGUGGAUGGUGUUGUGGGAUGAGAUCCUUUUGAAAGGGAAAUGUGCCCUUGGGCCAUUUCUAAAGUGUUUUGGUGAUUAAGUGCCCAACACAUUUUCUCUAAGUGCAAAUUUGUGCCAAAGAGUGAAGAAGUGAAAAUCGUAUUACAAGGUA